UGCCGUGAGGUCCAGGUGGGCGAGGCGGCCUUCUGGACUGACACUGACACUGAGGUGCGAAAGCGUGGGUAGCAAAAGGUAUAUAGAUACCCUGGUAGUCCACGCCGUAAACGAUGUCAACUAGCCGUUGGGUCCCUUGAGGACUUAGUGGCGCAGCUAACGCAAUAAGUUGACCGCCUGGGGAGUACGGCCGCAAGGUUAAAACUCAAAUGAAUUGACGGGGGCCCGCACAAGCGGUGGAGCAUGUGGUUUAAUUCGAUGCAACGCGAAGAGCCUUACCUACCCUUGACAUCCAGAGGACUUUCCAGAGAUGGAUUGGUGCCUUCGGGAACUCUGAGACAGGUGCUGCAUGGCUGUCGUCAGCUCGUGUUGUGAAAUGUUGGGUUAAGUCCCGCAACGAGCGCAACCCCUAUCCUUAGUUGCUAGCAGGUAAUGCUGAGAACUCUAAGGAGACUGCCGGUGAUAAACCGGAGGAAGGUGGGGACGACGUCAAGUCAUCAUGGCCCUUACGUGUAGGGCUACACACGUGCUACAAUGGCGCAUACAGAGUGCUGCGAACUCGCGAGAGUAAGCGAAUCACUUAAAGUGCGUCGUAGUCCGGAUUGGAGUCUGCAACUCGACUCCAUGAAGUCGGAAUCGCUAGUAAAUCGCGUAUCAGAAUGACGCGGUGAAUACGUUCCCGGGCCUUGUACACACCGCCCGUCACACCAUGGGAGUGGGUUGCUCCAGAAAGUAGAUAGUCUAACCCUUCGGGAGGACGUUUACCACGGAGUGAUUUCAUGACUGGGGGUGAAGUUCGUAACAAAGGUAACCC
RNAcentral lists this ribosomal RNA (814 nucleotides) under uncultured bacterium. RNAcentral's name for it is "bacterial SSU rRNA". It matches the Rfam family "Bacterial small subunit ribosomal RNA", at positions 695 to 1502 of the family's 1533-position model. The record is from RNAcentral.